Patiria miniata (bat star) is the source of this 1130-nucleotide long non-coding RNA. RefSeq lists it as uncharacterized. The record is from RefSeq and is a predicted model, not a curated record. The transcript is spliced from 3 exons. Lineage: Eukaryota; Metazoa; Echinodermata; Asteroidea; Valvatida; Asterinidae.
ACGGCCGUAAUUGCGCUACCUCUCAUCCCGCACUCGUCAGACAAGCGAGAGCAGUGUGGCAUUACUAUCACGACGAAUCACACUAAAAAACCAGUACGAAACUUAGAUUGGGAUCAUCGGAAGGGAUUGACAACUUAAGUCAUGACUUCUGAGACAACGGAAAAGUAUUUUGCCGGUGCUAGGACAACCAUAGGAAAACUAAAGGAAACAUGGGAAACAGAUCCGGUUGUGACUAUUCUACACGAUCUUCAGGUUAACAAAGGCGACCACGUUAAUCUACGUUGUGAAUAUGACGCCAACACUAACGUUCGUAUCACUUGGAGGGAAGGGGCGAAAGUGACGGAGGGAAAUAACUUUUCGAAAUCAGGGUCUACGUGGAUGGAAAUCGGUAAAGCGGCUGCCAAACACCAUGGGAACAAGUACACCGUUACCAUCAGAGACAUCAACGGAAAGACAGCAUCCACAUCUGCAUACAUCUAUGUCUAUGGUUAGGCCAAACUUCGAAGGUUAUCCAUCAUUCCCUGGACCCAGUUAGAGAUCACAGAACCUACCACCUCCCAGCAGUGGCAUAACCAACUACAAAGACAUCACAGGAACGAACCACACUUACAUGGAGGAGCAUUCUACCACCUGUCUUCACCCGGCCCAUUAAAAAAAAUGAGAAGUUUCUGUUCCCUUUGGAGGCUCUAAUUGCAACACAUGGGGGAAAAGUCUUCGCUUUCUUUUUACACAAACGAAACGGGCCAAAAAAUAUUUUUUCUUUUCCCAAUAAAAAGAACCGGGUUUCUCAGUAAACUACAAAAAGAGUUUUAAGAAACUCGGAAACUAUUAUCCUCAGCUUCGGGGUCCUUGUUUAAUGUAUAUAUACACAUCAUUUAUCACAGAAAUGACAACAAAUUGAAAAGAAAUGUUGAUUAUGAAGGAGCCCAUUGGACAUCUUUUGAGCGAAAACAUGUAUAGCACAAGGUCCGAUUGCAUAACCCGACGGCUGCCUUGAUUUUUUUUAAAAAAGAUUCAAGAGCCUUAAUUGUUUUUGAGGAAAACAUUUUACGGUUGAAUCGUCAAGCCAAAAUACAAUGAAAUUGAACAAAAGCUUGAGAAAAUAUCUACGUGUAAUUUGAAGUUCUCCA